UUAAGCGACUAAGCGUACACGGUGGAUGCCCUGGCAGUCAGAGGCGAUGAAGGACGUGCUAAUCUGCGAAAAGCGUCGGUAAGGUGAUAUGAACCGUUACAGCCGGCGAUGUCCGAAUGGGGAAACCCAGUGCAAUUCGUUGCACUAUCGUUAACUGAAUACAUAGGUUAACGAAGCGAACCGGGGGAACUGAAACAUCUAAGUACCCCGAGGAAAAGAAAUCAACCGAGAUUCCCCCAGUAGCGGCGAGCGAACGGGGAGCAGCCCAGAGUCUGAAUCAGCUUGUGUGUUAGUGGAACGGUCUGGAAAGUCCGACGGUACAGGGUGAUAGUCCCGUACACCAAAAUGCACAGGCUGUGAACUCGAAGAGUAGGGCGGGACACGUGGUAUCCUGUCUGAAUAUGGGGGGACCAUCCUCCAAGGCUAAAUACUCCUGACUGACCGAUAGUGAACCAGUACCGUGAGGGAAAGGCGAAAAGAACCCCGGCGAGGGGAGUGAAAAAGAACCUGAAACCGUGUACGUACAAGCAGUGGGAGCACCUUCGGGUGUGACUGCGUACCUUUUGUAUAAUGGGUCAGCGACUUAUAUUCUGUAGCAAGGUUAACCGUAUAGGGGAGCCGCAGGGAAACCGAGUCUUAACUGGGCGUUAAGUUGCAGGGUAUAGACCCGAAACCCGGUGAUUCAGCCAUGGGCAGGUUGAAGGUUGGGUAACACUAACUGGAGGACCGAACCGACUAAUGUUGAAAAAUUAGCGGAUGACUUGUGGCUGGGGUGAAAGGCCAAUCAAACCGGGAGAUAGCUGGUUCUCCCGAAAGCUAUUUAGGUAGCGCCUCGUGAACUCAUCUUCGGGGGUAGAGCACUGUUUCGGCUAGGGGGUCAUCCCGACUUACCAACCCGAUGCAAACUACGAAUACCGAAGAAUGUUAUCACGGGAGACACACGGCGGGUGCUAACGUCCGUCGUGAAGAGGGAAACAACCCAGACCGCCAGCUAAGGUCCCAAAGUCAUGGUUAAGUGGGAAACGAUGUGGGAAGGCACAGACAGCCGGAUGUUGGCUUAGAAGCAGCCAUCAUUUAAAGAAAGCGUAAUAGCUCACUGGUCGAGUCGGCCUGCGCGGAAGAUGUAACGGGCUAAACCAUGCACCGAAGCUGCGGCAGCGACACUAUGUGUUGUUGGGUAGGGGAGCGUUCUGUAAGCCUGCGAAGGUGUGCUGUGAGGCAUGCUGGAGGUAUCAGAAGUGCGAAUGCUGACAUAAGUAACGAUAAAGCGGGUGAAAAGCCCGCUCGCCGGAAGACCAAGGGUUCCUGUCCAACGUUAAUCGGGGCAGGGUGAGUCGACCCCUAAGGCGAGGCCGAAAGGCGUAGUCGAUGGGAAACAGGUUAAUAUUCCUGUACUUGGUGUUACUGCGAAGGGGACGGAGAAGGCUAUGUUAGCCGGGCGACGGUUGUCCCGGUUUAAGAUAGGCUGGUUAUCCGGCAAAUCCGGAUAAUCAAGGCUGAGGUGUGAUGACGAGGCACUACGGUGCUGAAGUAACAAAUGCCCUGCUUCCAGGAAAAGCCUCUAAGCAUCAGGUAACAUCAAAUCGUACCCCAAACCGACACAGGUGGUCAGGUAGAGAAUACCAAGGCGCUUGAGAGAACUCGGGUGAAGGAACUAGGCAAAAUGGUGCCGUAACUUCGGGAGAAGGCACGCUGGUGUGUAGGUGAAGUCCCUGCGGAUGGAGCUGAGACCAGUCGAAGAUACCAGCUGGCUGCAACUGUUUAUUAAAACACAGCACUGUGCAAACACGAAAGUGGACGUAUACGGUGUGACGCCUGCCCGGUGCCGGAAGGUUAAUUGAUGGGGUUAUCCGUAAGGAGAAGCUCUUGAUCGAAGCCCGGUAAACGGCGGCCGUAACUAUAACGGUCCUAAGGUAGCGAAAUUCCUUGUCGGGUAAGUUCCGACCUGCACGAAUGGCGUAAUGAUGGCCAGGCUGUCUCCACCCGAGACUCAGUGAAAUUGAACUCGCUGUGAAGAUGCAGUGUACCCGCGGCAAGACGGAAAGACCCCGUGAACCUUUACUAUAGCUUGACACUGAACAUUGAGCCUUGAUGUGUAGGAUAGGUGGGAGGCUUUGAAGCGUGGACGCCAGUCUGCGUGGAGCCAACCUUGAAAUACCACCCUUUAAUGUUUGAUGUUCUAACGUUGGCCCCUGACCGGGGUUGCGGACAGUGUCUGGUGGGUAGUUUGACUGGGGCGGUCUCCUCCCAAAGCGUAACGGAGGAGCACGAAGGUUAGCUAAUCCUGGUCGGACAUCAGGAGGUUAGUGCAAUGGCAUAAGCUAGCUUGACUGCGAGCGUGACGGCGCGAGCAGGUGCGAAAGCAGGUCAUAGUGAUCCGGUGGUUCUGAAUGGAAGGGCCAUCGCUCAACGGAUAAAAGGUACUCCGGGGAUAACAGGCUGAUACCGCCCAAGAGUUCAUAUCGACGGCGGUGUUUGGCACCUCGAUGUCGGCUCAUCACAUCCUGGGGCUGAAGUAGGUCCCAAGGGUAUGGCUGUUCGCCAUUUAAAGUGGUACGCGAGCUGGGUUUAGAACGUCGUGAGACAGUUCGGUCCCUAUCUGCCGUGGGCGCUGGAGAAUUGAGGGGGGCUGCUCCUAGUACGAGAGGACCGGAGUGGACGCAUCACUGGUGUUCGGGUUGUCAUGCCAAUGGCACUGCCCGGUAGCUAAAUGCGGAAGAGAUAAGUGCUGAAAGCAUCUAAGCACGAAACUUGCCCCGAGAUGAGUUCUCCCUGAGACUUUAAGUCUCCUGAAGGAACGUUAAAGACGAUGACGUUGAUAGGCCGGGUGUGUAAGCGCAGCGAUGCGUUGAGCUAACCGGUACUAAUGAACCGUGAGGCUUAACCU
This 2887-nucleotide ribosomal RNA is filed under the name Klebsiella pneumoniae. RNAcentral describes it as "bacterial LSU rRNA". It matches the Rfam family "Bacterial large subunit ribosomal RNA". The record is from RNAcentral. Lineage: Bacteria; Pseudomonadati; Pseudomonadota; Gammaproteobacteria; Enterobacterales; Enterobacteriaceae.